AAACAAAAAAAAGGGCAGGACCAGGACUGGAAAACCCUGCACUAAAGCCACUGCUGUCAAAGCAAACUCACCCUAGUGCUGUUGGCCUGGAAAACAUGAUUAGAUCAACUAGGCCUUUAUUCAGCUACCAUAGUGCUGGUAUGUAUAUGUUCAGCUGAAGGGCGGAGAAAGGGGUUUAAUGUAUUCAUCACAGAGGACUUGCUGCUUCUGUAUGUAAUGAUGUUAAUCAUCCACUCGAGAGCAAUUGAACCGAGGACAUGGCGGGACAGUUCCCUGUUCCAAAAGUGUGCAUGAUGGUCAGUGCUGGAGAACGCUACGCUUCUUUGAAAUCACAUCAAUGGCAAACACACUGACAUAUUUAAACCUUACCUGUUGAAAGUAUCAGCAUACUGUAGACGUGUCUUGUUGAUUGCUUUAUUGUGAAAUAAUCAUUCCCAACAUCAUGCUCUGGGUAUUUUGUGCGAGAUAUGUAAACAUGAGGCAGUAUUUUUUUUAAAUAAGGACCAUUGCUUUGAUGCACUACAUUUUAAUUAAUUUUGGGAGAGGCCAUGUUAAUCCCCAUUCUUAACGAGAUUAUUUUAGGGUUAAAAAAAGAUAAAUACUUUAAACAUAUUAUGGACAGGGUUUUCUUUGUUGCACAUGAAAGGAUUACAAAUGCAAAACCAAAAGACUAGCUGGAGGAUGUAAUAAUUAUUUGAGACUACUGAAGAAGACAUUUUAAUAACUAAGAAAUAUGAAAAUAUCCUUUUAGAAAGAUUAUUCAGUCUGCUGCUUAUUGUUCUUAGAGUCGGAGGGUUAUUUUCUAACCACACAGGGUUUGUGAUUAAUCAAAAGCAUUGACUUUCAACUUUGUAUCAUUCAUAGUUCUUUCCGAACUUGUAAAUUGAAAUCAAACGGUGUGUAAAGAGGUUUAAAUGUUAUUUUCAAAUACGGAAAUACUGGCGUGUUCCAGGUGAUGGAGGAGGUAAUCUUAAUUGUUAAACUAUUUUUGUUUUAGUGUUGAUUGCUUGAGGGCUGUCUGGAUGUGAAGGAAGAUUUUGCACUUCUUCCGGUUUUAGCUUAUGUCAUUGUGCUUGAAUUUGCACUGUUUAUAUUUGUGGAAAGGAAAAGCUACAGGAUUGGGUUGCUUAAGUCUUGCACACUAAGGGUAACUUGGCAAGGUUGUGGGCAUUGGGGAGAUUAUGUAUAACACAGUGAUCAGUCAUAAUCAAUCAUAACCCAUAAAAAAAAAAUCUGUUAAAACACCAACUCAUUUAUUACACUGUGUUGCCUGAGGUACAGUCAUGCUAGGUCAAGGUACAAGGCCCCAUUUACACCGUGUAUUAGAAUUGCAAACAGUAUUCACAUUUGAAAAACAUGUUACUGCUAGGUCCAAAUGUGCUCGUUGCAUAUACAUGUACUUGGCAGAUGUGCCUGAACACCUCUGGAAGUGGACACGCUUGAAUUGACCAUGGGACUGACUGGGCUUUAAAUAAUUAAUUAAUUCAAGGUUAUUUGUAAAUCACUCAUUCUGCAGUCCCCUGCAGUUGGCCUCCAAUCUCAGCUCAGAGUAAAUGUCAGUGCUCUGCCAAAAAUAUUCCUGUGUUAUUCAGCCUCCACCUUUGUGUUCCACUUACAGUACCAGUCAAUAGUUUGGACACACUUAUCCAUUCAUUUGGUUCAGAAUAUUCAAUGGUUAAAACAAGUUUUUUGCAAGAUAAGUAAAUGUGAAAACAAUAGACCUGUAAAGAAACAUGAAGUAGUAUUUAGUUUAGUACAUACAUUUUGUCUACAAAUUGAUUUGCAUUAAUAAGAGGGAACAUAGUUUUCAGUGUGGAAUGCACAAUUCAUAGUAUCAGGUGUAAAUGCGAGGCCUUUGUAAUGCCAUCCUAUCACAGCUGUUGCAUAUAGGUUUUAAGUCUAAAUGGUUAAGAACGAAGACUGAUCUUCGUUAAUUCAUACAAAUGAAAAUAGGUUUUUCACACAAUGUAAAAUGGAUGUUGGAAAGGAUGGAUCCUGAUGGAUGUCACAAACAAUUAGUUACAUACAAUUUCACAUUGAUAUACAUGAAUCAUCUAUAAUAGGGGCAGGGUGUUUUAAUAGAGGUUGAUGAAUAGGAAAACCUAAAAUAUUUAGCGAUAAGGAGAUGGUGCAGAUUGUGUAAACUGUCUGUAUUGCACUAAGACAUACAUGUGAUGUACAAAUAUGUGUCUCUAAUAAAAACACUAGAC
Long non-coding RNA from Esox lucius (northern pike), 2210 nucleotides. The record is from Ensembl. NCBI's taxonomy places the organism in Eukaryota, Metazoa, Chordata, Actinopteri, Esociformes, Esocidae.